Molecule: long non-coding RNA, 941 nt
Filed under: Anas platyrhynchos platyrhynchos (common mallard)
Lineage: Eukaryota; Metazoa; Chordata; Aves; Anseriformes; Anatidae
Description: lncRNA (ENSAPLG00000017100.1)
Source: RNAcentral
GUUUUGGUCAGUAUUGAUUUGGUCUUGUCAAAUUGCUCUUGUUUAUUUUUUGCAGUCAUCUAUCUUGGCUUCAGAUGUUGUUCAUCUGGAGUGACAUUUGCUUACACAUCAAUUAGCAAAGUGACUUAGAUGUAUAUAUUUUUGUAGGUCUGGUUAUUUUUAGAGGGGUCUGGAUGUUGCCAGGUUAAGUUGCAUUUCUACCUCUGCUUUUUGAAUAUCUGUCAGGUAACAACUAUAAAUUUGGGGCUGUAACUUACCACUGAUCAUGAAAUUUGUUUGCAGAUUUACACAGAUGUUCAAAAUGGGCAAGCAAAGAGGUGAGCCACAAUGGCUACCCCUAAUAUCUGUGCUUGAGGUUUGAUAUGUGAGGAUUUGGCAGAUCAACCUCAAAGUUUGGAAAAGCUGUACUCCCUUCUUCAGUGAACAAAACCUGAUGCUGCUUAAUUCAUAAGCAGUGCGGUAUUGCCUGAAAAGCAGUGGGAAGAUCAAACAGCCUUUCAGCCAGCUGCUCAACAUUGGUCACUGCCUUUGGAGAACGAUGAACCCAUCAGCGCAGCUGAGCGCUGCUGUAGAUCACCCAGCACAUGCAGAGAGCCCUUGGUCUGGAUAAAGAGGUUGUGGGAUGUGCAGGAGGAUCUUUGUCAGCAGCUAAAGUCUGUCUCAGAAGCCAAGCUUCCCAUGGGGAAGAGGACAGCUCAUCCAGAUAUAUGGAUGGGAUCUGUAGGAUCUGUAUUUGCACUCACAAAUAACAGUACUCUGCAUCCAUAUCCCAGUUGAGCCUCAUUUGCGACAUGACCAGAAUACAGGAAGAGCAGGCUUAUUGAAUUCAUGUUGGCACCUUGUCAUUUGAAGACUUUUUGUGGACCUGAAGUACAGCAGCUGUUUACAAGGUAUCCUUAUUUUUUCUCAUCUAUUUCAGUAAUAGGCAAAAAUACUUUAGA